AGAGUUUGAUCAUGGCUCAGAUUGAACGCUGGCGGCAGGCCUAACACAUGCAAGUCGAGCGGUAGCACAGAGAGCUUGCUCUCGGGUGACGAGCGGCGGACGGGUGAGUAAUGUCUGGGAAACUGCCUGAUGGAGGGGGAUAACUACUGGAAACGGUAGCUAAUACCGCAUAAUGUCGCAAGACCAAAGUGGGGGACCUUCGGGCCUCAUGCCAUCAGAUGUGCCCAGAUGGGAUUAGCUAGUAGGUGGGGUAACGGCUCACCUAGGCGACGAUCCCUAGCUGGUCUGAGAGGAUGACCAGCCACACUGGAACUGAGACACGGUCCAGACUCCUACGGGAGGCAGCAGUGGGGAAUAUUGCACAAUGGGCGCAAGCCUGAUGCAGCCAUGCCGCGUGUGUGAAGAAGGCCUUCGGGUUGUAAAGCACUUUCAGCGGGGAGGAAGGCGGUAAGGUUAAUAACCUCAUCGAUUGACGUUACCCGCAGAAGAAGCACCGGCUAACUCCGUGCCAGCAGCCGCGGUAAUACGGAGGGUGCAAGCGUUAAUCGGAAUUACUGGGCGUAAAGCGCACGCAGGCGGUCUGUCAAGUCGGAUGUGAAAUCCCCGGGCUUAACCUGGGAACUGCAUUCGAAACUGGCAGGCUAGAGUCUUGUAGAGGGGGGUAGAAUUCCAGGUGUAGCGGUGAAAUGCGUAGAGAUCUGGAGGAAUACCGGUGGCGAAGGCGGCCCCCUGGACAAAGACUGACGCUCAGGUGCGAAAGCGUGGGGAGCAAACAGGAUUAGAUACCCUGGUAGUCCACGCCGUAAACGAUGUCGAUUUGGAGGUUGUGCCCUUGAGGCGUGGCUUCCGGAGCUAACGCGUUAAAUCGACCGCCUGGGGAGUACGGCCGCAAGGUUAAAACUCAAAUGAAUUGACGGGGGCCCGCACAAGCGGUGGAGCAUGUGGUUUAAUUCGAUGCAACGCGAAGAACCUUACCUGGUCUUGACAUCCACAGAACUUUCCAGAGAUGGAUUGGUGCCUUCGGGAACUGUGAGACAGGUGCUGCAUGGCUGUCGUCAGCUCGUGUUGUGAAAUGUUGGGUUAAGUCCCGCAACGAGCGCAACCCUUAUCCUUUGUUGCCAGCGGUUCGGCCGGGAACUCAAAGGAGACUGCCAGUGAUAAACUGGAGGAAGGUGGGGAUGACGUCAAGUCAUCAUGGCCCUUACGACCAGGGCUACACACGUGCUACAAUGGCAUAUACAAAGAGAAGCGACCUCGCGAGAGCAAGCGGACCUCAUAAAGUAUGUCGUAGUCCGGAUUGGAGUCUGCAACUCGACUCCAUGAAGUCGGAAUCGCUAGUAAUCGUAGAUCAGAAUGCUACGGUGAAUACGUUCCCGGGCCUUGUACACACCGCCCGUCACACCAUGGGAGUGGGUUGCAAAAGAAGUAGGUAGCUUAACCUUCGGGAGGGCGCUUACCACUUUGUGAUUCAUGACUGGGGUGAAGUCGUAACAAGGUAACCGUAGGGGAACCUGCGGUUGGAUCACCU
RNAcentral lists this ribosomal RNA (1528 nucleotides) under Klebsiella pneumoniae. Its description in RNAcentral is "bacterial SSU rRNA". It matches the Rfam family "Bacterial small subunit ribosomal RNA". Lineage: Bacteria; Pseudomonadati; Pseudomonadota; Gammaproteobacteria; Enterobacterales; Enterobacteriaceae. The record is from RNAcentral.